UGUUGUUGCUGCUGAGAUUGUCCCAAACCACAGUGACUGGCUGAAACUUUGCUUUGAUCUUGACCUUUGACAGAUUAAAAAAAAAAAAAAUGGACGUAGUCAGCGGUUCCAGAAAGUGAAACCAAUAGAGAAGUGCCUAAAACGUGUAUUCUCUUGAAUGACCAGCAGAGGUUACAUGAACAAGGGCAUACAAGCACAAGUGUCCUACUUCAAAACUUGAAUGGACCAAAUGUGUCUCCUUACCUCUGGAGAAGGCAGGCUGUGAGAGUCCAGCCCUCCGAGAGGCUUGGUGAGCAGCUUGUCUCCCAGGGUGGAUCGCAGGAUUUGAGCCAUGACUGUCUGCUGCUCCACAGAGCAGUGGUUCUCCAGGGACAGGAUCAGAGGCAGUCCAGCUCCACACAACGACAACCGUGACUCAGCGCUCUGAGAAAAACAUCAUCGUUAAGAAUUACUACAAUAAAAGAAGAGUCUGAGAGUCAAGUAAUCUGUCCUUUUUCUCAAAUCUCAUUCUUUUUUUAUUUUCUUUUUUUUAUCAUCAUUUGAUCAUAUUUCUGAAAUGUGUCUUGUGCCCCAAUGCAUACUCUGUUCAC
Scophthalmus maximus (turbot) is the source of this 590-nucleotide long non-coding RNA. RefSeq lists it as uncharacterized. The transcript has 3 exons. The record is from RefSeq and is a predicted model, not a curated record. Lineage: Eukaryota; Metazoa; Chordata; Actinopteri; Pleuronectiformes; Scophthalmidae.